GGACUCUGUUGUGUCAUUACAACUGGUCUGAAAUGCAUGAGUGCACCCUGCUGUUGCAGCAUCUUCAGUGUGAUAAGCAUCUUCACUGGAUCAAGUUCCUUUGGGACACGCAAGCAUUGUGGGCUCUGUGCUGACAAACUGUCUUUGGACAACCUUGACAAUUUGACCUCAGAUCGGGUGGGACUACCCGCUGAACUUAA
This 200-nucleotide unclassified non-coding RNA is filed under the name soil metagenome. RNAcentral describes it as "partial contains internal transcribed spacer 2 and large subunit ribosomal RNA". The record is from RNAcentral.